Molecule: non-coding RNA, 1385 nt
Organism: Pocillopora verrucosa
Lineage: Eukaryota; Metazoa; Cnidaria; Anthozoa; Scleractinia; Pocilloporidae
Source: RefSeq, a predicted model, not a curated record
ACAAAUGUACUUCUUUCAUUAGCUCUCACUCAUGACCUAUGAACUGUGUAACUUUUGAUUGAUGUUCUACUUUAUAGUUCUUUUGUUUAACCUCAAAAAAGUUUGAUUUGUGUUGUUUCAGCAGAUAUUGAUAUUGACUGCAACUGGAAAAAUUUCGUUUGCUCAACUGUCGCAUGUAUCGAUAAUCUUAACUAACUCCAGAUCCUUGCCCUAGUUUUAAAUUUUUUGCACUAUGAAUUAGGAUACAUGUAUACACCAUUUGCAACUUGGCUGCCAUAGGAAGGCUUCAAUAUUUCUUGAAACAACACAUGUCAAUAUUCCUUUACUUUAGGAAAUUUGGAAGAGAAUUAGUUCUCAAAUUUUGCAACCUAGCUUGGAUGAGUUAAUACUUGGUAAAGAAUUGUGAAUAUUUUAUUAACUUACAGUAGUGGUGCAAAUAAAUUACGUUUCGGAGAUAAAAAUGUUUAUCCAUGUGAUGCUCUUGCAAUAUAUCCGCAUUAUAUGUUUAUCCAUCAGUUGCAGGCGAAGCAAAUACACGAGUAACUAUUUUCCCUCCUGCAGUAUUCUGCCAUAUUGGAAAGUUCAAUUUCGUAACCAUGGUUAUGGACACACCUCCGUCACACCUCUUUAUUGCUCCAAUCAGAGCUUGCGUGUAGCUUUCCCAGAAUGCCCCUGCAAUCGUAAAUUAGUUCAUCUUCACUUCAUAUUUCCAUGUGAAACACAAAUGCCCCGUUUUUCUCCUUCCAGUAGCCGUAAGAGUUCUAUUUUGUAUUCGAAAUCUUGAGCUAGCCUUUCGUAGGGUGGAGUUUUUCUUGCAAGUCUUUACAACCGACUUCAACUCAUUCAGAAGAGUGCUAGCAACAGUUUUGAUGUGCAGUAUAAUGUAUAUUGAAAUGAUCUGAAGGUACAAUUUUGGACCGAGGUACUUGUGUAAUGGACACAAUGCCACACAUGUCUGAUUCACACAGUUUCAAUUGGUGCUAAAAUAUGCAAAAGGACUAGUAUAUCAGCUUGUAAGCAUCAUGCUCAUAACUUUGUGUAAAUUAGCUCAGGAAAGUGUUAAAAUGGUAUGUUUGAAGUAAAAUAUUGAUUUGAUGCAAAACACAAUCAGUUAUCUUUAGUUUUAUGAUUUCCUAAGGUAAUGGCAUCCAUAAAGAUGCAUAUUUAUUAUUGAUUGUAACAAUGCUUCAAAUAGAUGCCCAAAGUGGGUUCUUUCACUGAUGGUAUUUUUUGAUAGACAUACAUUUUAAUUCGCAGUCUUAAUAACUUUUACAAAAAGGAACAUUGAAUAUUGAAAGCCCUAAUAAUACCAUCAUCAUACAGAAAAGAAUUUGUGGUAGCUUAAUUCUUUUUAACCACUUGUUAAAUUAAUGUAAUUAUAAGUU